Molecule: ribosomal RNA, 106 nt
Filed under: Acanthosepion pharaonis
Lineage: Eukaryota; Metazoa; Mollusca; Cephalopoda; Sepiida; Sepiidae
Source: RNAcentral
UUACAGCCAUAUCAUGUUGAAACAUUGGUUCUCGUAUGAUCACCGAAGUUAAGCAAUGUUGAGCCUGAUCAGUACCUAGAUGGGUGACUGCUUGAGAAUACCAUGU